Molecule: non-coding RNA, 654 nt
Organism: Petromyzon marinus (sea lamprey)
Lineage: Eukaryota; Metazoa; Chordata; Hyperoartia; Petromyzontiformes; Petromyzontidae
Source: RefSeq, a predicted model, not a curated record
CCCGUGUCGGCAUCAUCAGGCUGAGCCGACCUCGAGGAGGCCCAGGGAGGGUUCAGAUUCGGGGGCGUGGGCUCGCACUGGCAAAUCACUCGGAGGGGCGUGGCUGAAGGGGGCGUGGUAACGUCCCUCGCACUGUUACAGCACCGCUGACGUCACAAUCACCACGUGCUUCCUCAGAGUAUGAGACGGGCUUGAAGGAGACGGCAGCUUCUUAAACUUCAGCUGCUUCAGCUUCAUCAUCGUCGCCUUUCGAACAACUUCUGCUGAAGCUCUCCGAGCGAAAUUAUUGACGAGAGUACGAGACGGGCAUGAAGGAGACGGCAGCUUCUUAAACUUCAGCUGCUUCAGCUUCAUCAUCGUCGCAUUUCGAACAACUUCUGCUGAAGCUAUCCGAGCGAAACUAUUGACGAGAGUACGAGACGGGCAUGAAGGAGACGGCAGCUUCUUAAACUUCAGCUGCUUCAGCUUCAUCAUCGUCGCAUUUCGAACAACUUCUGCUGAAGCUAUCCGAGCGAAACUAUUGACGAGGUGAGUUUUGUGGGUUCCUGGUGAGUGUGUGGGUCCAUGUUGUGGGUUCGUGGUAAGUGUGUGGGUGCUUGUUGUGGGAUUGUGGAGAGUGUGUCGGUCCGUGGUGAGGAUGUGGAUGCGUGGUGA